This 481-nucleotide ribosomal RNA is filed under the name uncultured bacterium. RNAcentral describes it as "partial 16S ribosomal RNA". It matches the Rfam family "Bacterial small subunit ribosomal RNA", at positions 30 to 507 of the family's 1533-position model. The record is from RNAcentral.
UUGAACGCUGGCGGCCUGCCUUACACAUGCAAGUCGAACGGUAACGGGCCUUCGGGUGCCGCCGAGUGGCGAACGGGUGAGUAAUACAUCGGAACGUGCCCGAUCGUGGGGGAUAACGAGGCGAAAGCUUUGCUAAUACCGCAUACGAUCUACGGAUGAAAGCAGGGGACCGCAAGGCCUUGCGCGGACGGAGCGGCCGAUGGCAGAUUAGGUAGUUGGUGGGAUAAAAGCUUACCAAGCCGACGAUCUGUAGCUGGUCUGAGAGGAUGAUCAGCCACACUGGGACUGAGACACGGCCCAGACUCCUACGGGAGGCAGCAGUGGGGAAUUUUGGACAAUGGGCGCAAGCCUGAUCCAGCCAUGCCGCGUGCAGGAUGAAGGCCUUCGGGCUGUAAACUGCUUUUGUACGGAACGAAAAGCCUUCUUUUAAUACAGGAGGGUCAUGACGGUACCGUAAGAAUAAGCACCGGCUAACUACGUG